This 497-nucleotide ribosomal RNA is filed under the name uncultured bacterium. RNAcentral's name for it is "partial 16S ribosomal RNA". It matches the Rfam family "Bacterial small subunit ribosomal RNA", at positions 28 to 507 of the family's 1533-position model. The record is from RNAcentral.
GAUGAACGCUGGCGGCGUGCCUAAUGCAUGCAAGUCGAGCGAACAGAUAAGGAGCUUGCUCCUUUGACGUUAGCGGCGGACGGGUGAGUAACACGUGGGUAACCUACCUAUAAGACUGGGAUAACUUCGGGAAACCGGAGCUAAUACCGGAUAAUAUUUCGAACCGCAUGGUUCGAUAGUGAAAGAUGGUUUUGCUAUCACUUAUAGAUGGACCCGCGCCGUAUUAGCUAGUUGGUAAGGUAACGGCUUACCAAGGCGACGAUACGUAGCCGACCUGAGAGGGUGAUCGGCCACACUGGAACUGAGACACGGUCCAGACUCCUACGGGAGGCAGCAGUAGGGAAUCUUCCGCAAUGGGCGAAAGCCUGACGGAGCAACGCCGCGUGAGUGAUGAAGGUCUUCGGAUCGUAAAACUCUGUUAUUAGGGAAGAACAUACGUGUAAGUAACUGUGCACGUCUUGACGGUACCUAAUCAGAAAGCCACGGCUAACUACGUG